RNAcentral lists this small RNA (1107 nucleotides) under Arabidopsis thaliana (thale cress). Its description in RNAcentral is "ATSL029250". Lineage: Eukaryota; Viridiplantae; Streptophyta; Magnoliopsida; Brassicales; Brassicaceae. The record is from RNAcentral.
UUAAAAUAAAAGUUUUGAUUGGUUAUACCUAGGGGUGUCAAAAUGGGUAACCCAACCCAACUCAACUCAUAAUCAAAUGAGUUUAGGGUCAAAUGAGUUAUGAGUUGAUCCAACUCAUUUAACAAAAUGAGUUGGGUCAACCCAUAACUCAUUUAAUUUGAUGGGUUGAGUUGUUAAAUGGGUUAACCCAUUUAAGUAAUAAUUUAAUUAAUUAUUAUUAUAAAACAAUAAUAAAUAAUUAUCAUUAUUAAUUGAUUAUCAUCAAACUUAGGAUAUUUACGGAUUCUAUUUUUUACGGGUUUACGUUUUUGGCGAGAAAAUCACGGAUUUACGUUUUUGGCGGGAAAAUCACGGGUUUACAUUUUUUGCGGGAAAAUUACGGGUUUACGUUUUUGGCGGGAAAAUUACGGAUUUACGUUUUUGGCGGGAAAAUCUCGGGUUUACAUUUUUAGCGGGAAAAUCACGGGUUUACGUUUUUGGCGGGAAAAUCUCGGGUUUACGUUUUUGGCGGGAAAAUUAUGGAUUUACGUUUUUGGCGGGAAAAUCUCGGGUUUACAUUUUUGGCGGGAAAAUUACGGAUUUACGUUUUUGGCGGGAAAAUCUCGGAUUUACGUUUUUGGCGGGAAAAUCUCGGGUUUACAUUUUUGGCGGGAAAAUCUCGGAUUUACGUUUUUGGCGGGAAAAUCACAGGUUUAUGUUUUUUGGUGGAAAAAUUACGAGUUUACUUUUUCUCAAUUUUAUCGCUUGUAUAUUUAAGAAAUUUGGAAAAAUAUUAAUUUUAUUAAAUUGGUUUAGAUGUGUUGGUUAAACUUAAAUUGACAUUGGUUUAGAGAUUUUAGUUGGUUUAAUUGAAUUUUACAAAAUUUGAUGGGUUAAUUGGGUAAACCAUUGAAACCAUUAACCAUUACAACCCAACUCAUUUUACUCAUCAAACCAAUUGACUCAUCAACUCAUUUGACUCAUUAACUCAUUUGAGUCAAAAUUUUCAACUCAUUAGGGUUCAUGGGUUGAGUUGAGUUGAGUUGAUCCAUGAAUUUUGACCCAUUUUGACACCCCUAGUUAUACCCAAUCCAAAAAAGAAACGUUUGCAAAUGAAUCAUCCACAAA